CGAGAAAGCGUUGCCGCAGGCAACGACCCGAAGGGUGAGGAGCGGAGCGACGAAUAAUCCUUCCCCCACCACCA
Molecule: small RNA, 74 nt
Filed under: Salmonella enterica
Lineage: Bacteria; Pseudomonadati; Pseudomonadota; Gammaproteobacteria; Enterobacterales; Enterobacteriaceae
Also listed under: 1 other name
Description: partial RtT sRNA
Rfam family: RtT RNA
About the family: This family represents a bacterial cis-regulatory element known as RtT RNA. The exact function of RtT is unknown although it is thought that it may be involved in changing the cellular response in relation to amino acid starvation.
Source: RNAcentral